GUGACCCGGCGCCGCCUCAGCCGCGUGGGGGCGAUGCCCGGGGCAGAGAGCCGUGUAGACGCUGCUGGCGGCCGGCUUCUCUCUUCCUGAGCUAAUGAUGAGCUUUGACUUAUGAGCGUUUUUUCUCGUUCAGAGUCUUAGCAGGCAGAAGAACAAAGCCAUUCACUCGAGCCUUGCUUGGGCACCUUCUGGAUCAGGCCCUGAGGAGCGGGCAGAAGGAGAGCCAGGACUGCAAACAUGGGGACAGGAGCCUGUCAGGAGGAGGAGGAGAACCAGCCGCGCUGGGUGACAGAAGGACAGUGGAUGGAAUGACAAGAAGAGCAGCCUUGAGAGGUGCAGUGUGGUGCUGGCGGUCCCAGAGCUUGGGUCCUUUGCCAGGUCAACAUUUGUGGCCUGCAGGGCAGGGUUUGGGAGCAGAUGCAUGCCCAGGUGUCUGAGAGCUCAUGCCCUCCCCUAAGCCAGGGACCCUCCCAGGUGGUGAAUCCUGAGGGAGUAGGAACAAUUAAAGCUUACAGAGAAAUGACAAGUCACCAAUAAACCUGUGUAUGUCUCCACAUCAGAAACCCCAAGAUGGAAGACUAGGGAGCAGAGCUGAUUCCCAAGCCCAGAGUUUUGGGUGGCCAUUGGGUUUUGUGUCCACUUGCUUGGAGCUCAGUGAUAGAUAUCCACCCCAAAAGAGGAAAGGACUGUUCCACAUAACUGGGACAUCCGAGGAAUGCUUCAGGCAUAGCUGGAUCCAGGCAUUCAAAUAGUGUUAUCAGAACUUUGCUUCCAUUUCUUACCAUGUACUGGCUUUGUUUUCAGAAAAGGAUGGGCCCCAGCAGCUCUGGACCCCCAUAAUCCCACAGGAGAGAGCAGCCCUCUUUUUCCUGGUGUCUAGCCUGUCCCUAAAAGGCCCUUGGGUUGGCCUGAGGGAAGAUCUCGAGCAGGCCAAGGGAAGGGCUCAGUGUCACUGCAUUUAUCCGACUCCUGAGGAAACAAGGCACGUGGGAAUUCCAUAAAGUCCAAAGAGCUCUGAGCCCUUUGUCCGUAGGACUGUUUUCAUGCCACUGUCUCUAGGUGUGUCUCACAGGGCACAUCCCGCUGACCUGAGUUGCUCGUCAUAUCCACCCUCUGCAGUUCCCCGCUGUGUUCAGCAGGGCACUUGGGGCUUGGGUGGGGACCAGAGGGAUAUGUGUCGUGUCCUCCUGUCCCUCUUCAGGCUGUCAAGUUUCACCUGUACUUUCCCUUCCCAUUGAUCCAAGUUGUAAACUAAGAAACAAUCAUUCAGAAAAGACACUUGAACUUAUUAAAUCAAUGGCUGUUUCCCCAUGGGCUGCCCGGUGAGUGGGGAUCCCGUGUGGCUCCGCUGUGAAGUCAGAUGGGCUUUGUGACAUCUCCCUGCCAACUCAAGCUUCUUUUCUUUUGCUUUUGCUUUGUGUCUAAGAGGUUGGGGUGAAAAUCAUUCCACAGAUAAAGAAAUCUACAAGCCCAGCUGUGGUGUGAGAAAAAAACGUAUAAGCUGUCUCUUGCAGAAGGAAAAGAUGGAAUCAGAAAUAGGAGAUUUUCCUUUGAGGGUGAAAGUCAGCUUUAACCAGUAAAUUGGUGUGCUAGCUAGAUGUGUUAAACAAAGAAAGGAGUUGUUUUUAAUUGCAAAGAAAUGCAUUUUUUUUCCCUCUCAACACUAAACUUAGUGGUUUUUGACUUUAUGUUACCCGAGGAGAAGGAAAAAGCCCUGCUUGUUCCUAAAAAUGGUGAGUUCCUGUAUCUCAGCUUUCUACGAGACAGGGUGCAGAUGGCGAGUCCCAGCCGCCAAGGCCAGGCUGUCGGGGAGCCUUUUCCCCAAGAAGGGAAGGAUUCCUGGAAGCCUGGAACCGAGUGCUGGUGAGCCGCAGGCUUGCUUCAGAGAGAAUUUCCGGGGGCCACUUGAGAGCGACAGCCGUGGCUGAGGGAAAGCCUGCUUCUUGGGUGGCUGGGAGCCCGGUUGGGCCCUCCACAGGGACCGGGGAUGCCGCAAGUGAAACAGCACAUAAACCUUGACCAGCUUAAACUAGUUUUGCUUCCUUAAAACAGGUUAUUUUAAUCAAACCAUGCUCAAUAACAGACGGCACUGCACAUGUGCCAGGCGGGAACCUAUAGCCCCAGGUGACCCCGGAACCAAGAAUUUUCCUCCAGUCAGGAAAAUCUGGCUUCCAGCAGCCCAGAUAGCUUGAUUAUCAUAUAGAGACUGACCUGAGACUAGCCAGUCAGCUUACCUGGGUCCAGCUAUAGCUUAGUUUCCCCUAACUCCUGAAAUUUCCCCCUGAACCUUGGACUGGGGGUCAGAUUCGAGAGCCUUGCUGUCUCCUUGCUGGUCAACCUCGCAAUUAAGCUUUUUCUUUUCUCAAAAGCCAGUGUCAUAGUAUUGGCUUCUAUGCGUAUUGGGUAGUGAGCCCUUGCUGGGUAACACGUGGUUCCAGACUGCUACCCCGCCCAAGGUCUAGCCCUGGGAAGCUGCCAGGGGGACCAGAGCCAGGCAGCUCCCUCACCUUUUCACCCAAGUGAGGAUACCACGAAAAGACGGCCAUCUAUGGACCAAAAAGUGGUACCUCAUCAGAACCCAACCCUGCCAGUGCCCUGAUCUCAGACUUCCAGCCUCCAGAACUGUGAGAAAUAAAUGUCUGUCGUUUACAAGCCUCCCGGUCUACGUUAAUUUGUUGUAACAGCUCAGCUGACUAAGAGAGCCAGGGUUACUCCUUUCUCUUCUAUUUUUAUCCUUUUUUCCAAUUAUAAAAGUUAGCCACCCUUGUUAGAAAAAAGUGUAAACUUUACAGACAUUUAUGAAGAGCCCCCAUACAAUGCCUCCUCUCCAGUUCCGGAGAUAACCUUCGUUAACAGGUGAAACUUCCUCAGCAAGUUCUCUAUGCUCAUACAAAGGCAUCGCAAACAGAUAAGUCCAUUUGAAAAUCCGGACUUGAGGAUGAUAAAUUCAAUGCUAUGUGUUUUUUACCACAAGAAAAAAACAAUUGUAUCAGUCAUAAGGAAAUAAAGAUACUAUAUUUUCUUGCCAACAAGACAGCAAUAACAACAAUAGCAAAGAAUGGAGCUGUUUUAUGAUAACACUCGCUGAAGGCUUGCCACGUGCUUUCUGUGGAUUUACUCAUUUUAACAUCACAGUGAUCCUAUUGACCCUGUCUUAGUCAGCUAGAGCUGCCACAGCAAAAUACCACAGGCUGGGGGCCGAAACCACAGACGUUUACUCUCUCCCAGUUCUGGAGGCUGGAAGUCCAAGGUCAAGGUGGCAGCAGGGUUGGAUUCUGGUGAGAGCUCCCUUUCAGUUUCCGAUGGUCACCUUCUCCCUGUGUGCUCACGGCACCUCUUCUUUGCGUGAGCACAGCAGGGGGUUGGAGGGGAGAGAGAAUGAGAGAGCCAGAGAGGAGAGCACAAGCCCUCCUUUGUCUCUUCCCAAAGGGUGCUAAUCCCAUCCUGGGGCCCCACCCUCAUGACCUCAUCUGACUGUAAUCACCUCCCAAAGGCCCACCUCCUAAUACCAUGCCGUUGGGGGUAUAUGAAUGUGGGGAGGAUAUAAUCCAGUCCAUAGCAGGCUUGCUGCUAUCACUCUUCCAUCUUAGAGAUGAGGAAGUGGAGGCACAGAGAGGCAAAGCCACCGGUUCAAGGUCCCAGAGUGCACAGUGGACUCAGCUCAUGGCUGGGACCCGGCCCCAGAGCCAGCUCGGAGCCUUGGCCCUGCACUACCUACCGCACAUUUCUCUUUCUCCACUUAACGGUCAGGUCUUGAAGGACCUCCUGUCACCACGACUCACCUGCACUGUUCUCUUGACCGUGUAUCACAGCCAGGCUGGGUUCUCAGCAGUUUGUCCCUUGUGUCCGUAUUCACAGAGAGUGGAUCAUUUCUAGUUUUCCCCCGUUACACAGAGCACUGCAGCCAACAUCCUUGUACACCUGAGUUUGCACACUUGUGUGUUCUUCUGUGAGACAAAUUUUAGCAGCAGAAUUGCUGAGUCAAAAGGAUUCAAAAGUUUUAAUUUCACAUUUUUUUGCUCACGUCCUCUGAGAGGGCAGAACUGCUUUACUCCCAUGUGAGAACGUGUUUUCCUGACGCCUGGCCCAGCUCCAAGCAUUGUCCCUCUUUUUAGUCUUUGCCAGUCUGAUGAGACCAAAGAGGGGACCGACCCCUUGGGGUUUGCCUUGGCCUUUCUUUUGUGGUUGGACGUUGAGUGUGUCUUCAGGCUUCCUGGCCAUUGUACUUCCGGGAACUGCCAGUUACUGAGCUCUGCUCUUGGAUUUGUCAUCUUUUUAAAACUGAUCUGCAAGAGGUCUUUGUGUGUAUAUAUAUAUAUAUAUUUUUUUUUAUUUUGUUUUUUUUGAGGAAGAUCAGCCCUGAGCUAACAUCCACUGCCAAUCCUCCUCUUUUUGCUGAGGAAGACUGGCCCUGAGCUAACAUCUGUGCCCAUCUUCCUCUACUUUAUAUGUGGGACGCCUACCACAGCAUGGCAUGCCAAGCAGUGCCGUUUCUGCACCCGGGAUCCGAACUGGCGAACCCAGGGCCGCCAAAGCGGAAUGUGUGAACUUAACUGCUGCGCCACCAGGCCAGCGCCAAGGAAGCCUAAGAUGAGGACAAGGCAGAAGGAGGAAGAGAAGUGAAAAGGAGGAGGCGAGGAAGAAGAGCGAGAAGGAGGAGGAGGAGAGCAGCGCCCUCGGAUCCCAGGCUCAGAGGCCCCGCCUGGCCGGUUCCCUUCCUGGCGGCAUUGGUGACACCUUUGUCCUUCUGGUGCAUUUCAAACUUCUGAGGCAGCUCCAGAAUUGUUGGGUAGGUAGCAAGUUUGGGGUUUUUAUCCUUUUCCUCCUAAUUGCAAGGCCUGUGAGAACAGUUAGCAGUUGCCAUCUGCACAGUAUUCAUUAUCCUGCUGCAGCGGGGGAAAAUGAGUAAUUUUAGCACAAAAUGUAGAACUGCCCUGAAAUUCAAAUUGCAGUAAGUUGACAAGAGUUAUGAUGUUUGUGGAAAAGCUCAUCUAGGAGGCUAAAGGGACCAUGCGGGGAGCAGCAGCCUCACCACCGAGAAAAAUGGCUGCAGUCAGAGGCGGGCGAGGCCUGGGGCGGGCCACUGCCCACUCUGCCCAGAGUGCCAGGGCCGAGGCUGCUUGGCAAUUUUCCCUUCACCCUCUUGCUCUUGACCAUAAAACAAGGCGGAGGAAGCAGGAGGCUGGGGAGCACCUCCGCAAAUAAAGGAGUGAGCAUUCCAGAGAGCAUAGCUGACGAGGCAGAAUUCUUGCCAAGUGAGUUGACUCUGCAUUGAAGGGGAGGUUUCUCCUGCCUUCUGGAAACAGGAUAUUUUCUUAAAGGGGUCACCAAGAUCACCCCUGAUCAGUCCACAAACAAUGUACCUGGGCCUUCAGCCCGUGGCCUACUCCCAGGCCCAGAGGAACGAAUGUCCCGGCAGCAGGAGGAAAGGAACAUGUCUACAGAUACCAGUUGUUCAAAUAAUAGCAAAGAUGGAAAUGCAGCUGCCAAUGUACAAACUGACAACUACCCUAAACACUCUUUUUGGCUCUAGUAACUUGUAAGUCCUUCCUUGCCCUCAAGAAUAAAACCAUUUAGGUUCUGCAUUCUUUGUG
Molecule: long non-coding RNA, 5594 nt
Organism: Equus caballus (horse)
Lineage: Eukaryota; Metazoa; Chordata; Mammalia; Perissodactyla; Equidae
Source: Ensembl